CCUUUCUUUCCACAGGUAUUUAAUUCUUCUUACUGUUCUACUCUCAGAUGUUCCUGAAUGUAUCUCCAAACUAUUGUUUAGAAAUGGAGGGAAAAAAAUAGAAUAUGGGACAGAAGAGAGAGCCAGGCAGUCUCCUUGCACAGAACAAGGUUCAUAUCUCCCAAUGAGAGUUACAGAGCUGAAAAGGUUAUUUCUAUGCUGAGAGAAGGAGAAGAACCAGAACUGCCACAGUACCAAAACCAGAGUUGCAGAGCCCAGUGCACUGAGUGGAGAACUGGUAGUCAUCUCUGGAUCAGGACUUCUGCUAAUUUGGGAACAAAGGCCAAGAGAUCACUCCGAUUUGCCUGCCCAGAGGGGAUGGGCUUGGCCUGACCUUUCAGGCAUCUCCAGGCAGUUUCUUUUCCAGUGUGGAGUGCUGAAAUGCCCCAUCAAGAAUCUGGGUAUGUGUGAUUCAUGCAAAGUCAUAGAGGAGGUACCUGGAAAAGCAAGGAAUUGAGUGGCAUUCUCCUGAGGCCCAGAUUAAUGCUUACUCCGUUGUACAGCCUUUCCUCUGUCAGUAUCUCUGAAGAAAACCUAAGAAAAAAUGUGGUUUGUGGAAUGAAGACCUUUUCUAUUUACCCGUGGACUUCCUUCAGUGCUUCAUAUCUGGUAAACAUUUGGGCUUGUCUUCACCUUAGCUGCAACUGUCACUGUGUCCAUUAACUUGUCAACAAGAAUUUUGCCACUUUUUUCUAUGGAGUGUAUUUUUUCUCAGCAGAUGAGAGCAGAAGAGAGCACCCUGACACAGUAAAUGGCUACAUAAGUCUGCAGACUGAUCCCACUGCUGGGAGUGCUGUGAUUCCCUCGUGUUUCUGUGUGUCUGGGCCACCCAAGAGAGAAGCACUGCAGGUGUUUCAAGCAUGAACUCCCAGUCCUCUUGCCACUUCUGAAGCACUUCACUGGCUUGGAUAACAGAGCACUGUAGUCAAAGGACCUAAUAUAAGUGAGAGACAAACACAUUCUGGGAAGAAUAGCUUUAUUUGGCCAGUAGCCUAAUCCAUAAGACCAUCUGCUUGAUGCAGCUAGAGCUUCUGGACUUCCAGCCUGAAUAGGUCGGAACUGAUUUGUGUGACUGAAUACUUUAUCCUUUCCGGAAUGACUCUUGUCAGUAUGCUAACAAAGCCUUCCACAGAUGUUCCUAUGUACAGAGCUUUCAGGAAGAUUGCCUGCUGUUUUAGUUGGAAGAUAUGGUCUACUACACUUAUACAGUAAUCUCUAUUAAGUUAUACUUUAAAUAAUGUUUAGUUUUUCUUGACAAUUUUCUGUAGAAUAGAUACAGAUACGUUUCAGCAAAGGUCAGUAUUAUGUCCCCUCUAUAACCAGAGAAAGUAAAAGACAGAAAAAUGAGGGACAUUGUCUAAGACCACCUAAGGAGGAGAUAGAGCAGUAGAGCUGGGAAUGAUAUUAGUCCCGUGGCCUCUCCAUUAGAUCCCUCUACUGCCACACUAUUUCAUUAAAAUGUAUAAGAUCUUAGUGCUCAGUCACAUCUCAGGCAUAUGCCACUAUAAUUAAAAUCUAUCAUAUUGUAUACAGUCACUGGAGUAAUUUUGAACAGUUCACAGAAGGGUAGAUUGUUGUGAGUCUGUGAAGUGUUUUAUCAAAAAACAUAAACAUGCAUUUACCAGGCAUAAUUACUGUGCUGAAAAUAACUAUCACACUUUCAUUUGUGCUUCCUAGCUCUUUCUAGUGGAACUGUUAAACACCAGCGUCAAUAGGUCUUUCAGAUUUUCUUUACUUUAAACAGACUGCAAAUGUGUUUUAUCUAGUUAUGCUAACAGCUGCUAGCAGGCCAUGCAUUAUUGUUACGUCCAUUAUUAUGAAAACUCAGCUUUCGUUUUUAAGUCUUUUUAAGAGUAGAUAUAAACUCUGUUAACAAAUCAGCCCAGAAAGAUGAGCUUUGCACCUGUUGUCCUCUCCUGCCAGAGAGCAAAUAAUGCUAUCUGGAAGCCAUCCCAGUGAUUUGCUCAUUGUCUGCCCAGGCACGUCUUUUCUCAAGAAGCCUUCAACCAUAUUGAGCAGACCAAAUGUCAGUAGUGAUUCAUGCAGACUUAGAGUUUCCACGAGACAGAACCAGAAGGUUAACUAGCAAGCCUGACUCAGCAGGAGCAAAGCCAGAGCUCACUGUAGUAAAGGGGAAGAAGGGCAAUGACACAAAAUAUGGAAUGAAAUACAGAAUAGUGGUGAAUUAAACAAAAUCUUACAUGGGUCACCAAUUGACCACAGAAUGAACUACCCACACAGACAGAUAAGUAUGUCCUAGGUAGUGAGGAAUGUAAUUUAUAUUAAUUAAAAUUAUGUGAGACUUUGGAAAAACUCCUGCUAAAAGUCCUUCUUCAGGUUUGAGGCAAUCUCAGGUACAAAAGAUCAGGAGGAGACCUGUAAUCUGUUCUGCAUGAUGCUGUUUUUAGAGGCUCUUAAACAUGGGGUAGUCUGUAAAGAAACGCUUGGGUAGGCUAAGUGUAUAUGAAGAUAUCUUUCUCAGUGAUGGGACAGGCUGAGUUUGUUGGGAGAAAAAAAGUAGAGGUCGUAGCAGGGUUCAGUGUCACAACAUAAUGCUGUGUUGGCAGAGGAACUGCUUGCAUUACCUUCGGAGUGAAGAAUGUCUCAACUCUGAAGCAGCUUAGCAGAAAAUAUCUGAAAGGUGAGGACAGUUCAAAGCACUUAACACGUGACAGAGACACAAACAACUGGUCUUCUACAAGAUACCCUGAAGACAAAUGGAGGCUGUUACAACUCCUCAUUCAUUUCACUACAGAAAACUUCCAGAAGCAGCCAAAGCAGCAGUCCUGUUGCUCACUGUAUAUCAGGUUCAACUUUUAACUUAGUGCUGCAUCUCUGCAUUGUACUGGUGUCUUAAUGAAGGAAUUAAAGACAAUAAGACAUUCUUA
This is a long non-coding RNA of Numida meleagris (helmeted guineafowl), 2927 nucleotides long. RefSeq lists it as uncharacterized. The transcript has 9 exons. The record is from RefSeq and is a predicted model, not a curated record. NCBI's taxonomy places the organism in Eukaryota, Metazoa, Chordata, Aves, Galliformes, Numididae.